This is a long non-coding RNA of Daphnia pulicaria, 483 nucleotides long. RefSeq lists it as uncharacterized. The record is from RefSeq and is a predicted model, not a curated record. NCBI's taxonomy places the organism in Eukaryota, Metazoa, Arthropoda, Branchiopoda, Diplostraca, Daphniidae. The transcript is spliced from 2 exons.
UGUCAAGUUUUAAUUUUUUUUUUUUUGCUUGUUAUUCUUGUUUCUAAUUUUAGUAAGUCUCGAUAAGCUAGUUUCAAUUCAUUUUACUGUUUUAAAUUUUAAAUAUUUGUUGUUUACAACGCUACGAUGGCUUGGAUUGUUUUCAGCGAAUUCUUCGUCAACGUAAAUUUUGUUAUGCCAAAAAACAGUGCAGAAAGAAUUCAUCCCGUUAACGUUAUUUCGUGUGCCCUGACACGCAGGAUACGAAUUACUUGUAAUCUAAAAUUGAGCGAAGAUGGUGGACAAGAGUAACAACGUAGAAGCUGCUCACCUCUGGAAGGCGUUGAGCGAAGAUAAAAUCAAAGUAAAUUGCAGUUGGUUUGGUUCCGUGUCCAGGUGUCCUCCACUUCCAAAUCAGUCGCUCUUUUCAGAGCCUGAUUGAAGUGAUUGACGAAUUUGGUAAAUUGGUCCACCCAUCAAAGUGUGAAUUUCCCUUGAUGGAUU